This 253-nucleotide ribosomal RNA is filed under the name uncultured bacterium. Its description in RNAcentral is "partial 16S ribosomal RNA". It matches the Rfam family "Bacterial small subunit ribosomal RNA", at positions 524 to 776 of the family's 1533-position model. The record is from RNAcentral.
AACGUAGGUGGCGAGCGUUAUCCGGAUUCAUUGGGCGUAAAGGGUGCGUAGGUGGCGUCGUAAGUCGGGUGUGAAAUUUCGGAGCUUAACUCCGAAACUGCAUUCGAUACUGCGGUGCUUGAGGACUGGAGAGGAGACUGGAAUUUACGGUGUAGCGGUGAAAUGCGUAGAUAUCGUAAGGAAGACCAGUGGCGAAGGCGGGUCUCUGGACAGUUCCUGACGCUGAGGCACGAAGGCCAGGGGAGCAAACGGG